CAGCCGCGGGAAUACGGAGGGUGCAAGCGUUAUCCGGAUUUAUUGGGUUUAAAGGGUCCGUAGGCGGAUCUGUAAGUCAGUGGUGAAAUCUCACAGCUUAACUGUGAAACUGCCAUUGAUACUGCAGGUCUUGAGUAAAUUUGAAGUGGCUGGAAUAAGUAGUGUAGCGGUGAAAUGCAUAGAUAUUACUUAGAACACCAAUUGCGAAGGCAGGUCACUAAGAUUUAACUGACGCUGAUGGACGAAAGCGUGGGGAGCGAACAGGAUUAGAUACCCCUGUAGUCCCUGUCUCUUAUACACA
RNAcentral lists this ribosomal RNA (301 nucleotides) under uncultured bacterium. Its description in RNAcentral is "partial 16S ribosomal RNA". It matches the Rfam family "Bacterial small subunit ribosomal RNA", at positions 512 to 810 of the family's 1533-position model. The record is from RNAcentral.